RNAcentral lists this long non-coding RNA (305 nucleotides) under Monodelphis domestica (gray short-tailed opossum). Its description in RNAcentral is "lncRNA (ENSMODG00000032607.2)". The record is from RNAcentral. Lineage: Eukaryota; Metazoa; Chordata; Mammalia; Didelphimorphia; Didelphidae.
UUGGAUCUUGUGACUAGCACUUCCUUCCUGCCGGGUGUGGCAGUUGGGUCUUGUGACUAGCACUUCCUUCCUGCCCUGUGGGACUUGCUUCUGGGUAUUGGAGGAGAGAGGAGCUUGUUCAGCCCAGUCUGGAGUGGCAUGCUCUUCUUGGUUCAGCCCAAAGUGAAGAUUUCCCAGUGACAUGGCUGGGGGCCCUAAUGGCAGCCUCAGAAUAGCAAGCUACAUGGAGCAUUGAGGUAAGUAUAUCUUUCUCUUAUUUUCCCAUCUUUUCCCCAUACUACUUUUGAUUAAUAAAAUUAUUAAUU